AAAACUAUACUUUUUUGGGGUCAUUUUUAUAGUUUGUUCCUUAAAAAAGUGUUUCUGAAGUUUUGGUCUCCCACCCAGUGAAAUUGACUUUGUUUUUUUCUGAGGUGAUGGUCAAUAUUUAAAUGUUUGUCUGUAAGACUACUUCUCGUUUGAUGAUCGUUCUCUUCUGGAGAAGCAGAAAAGAAAGGGAAAAAUUCUCUGAGUGGG
Molecule: small nucleolar RNA, 207 nt
Organism: Polypterus senegalus (gray bichir)
Lineage: Eukaryota; Metazoa; Chordata; Cladistia; Polypteriformes; Polypteridae
Product: small nucleolar RNA U3
Exons: 1
Source: RefSeq, a predicted model, not a curated record